Molecule: transfer RNA, 82 nt
Filed under: Saccoglossus kowalevskii
Lineage: Eukaryota; Metazoa; Hemichordata; Enteropneusta; Harrimaniidae
Description: tRNA-Ser
Rfam family: tRNA
About the family: Transfer RNA (tRNA) molecules are approximately 80 nucleotides in length.
Source: RNAcentral
GUAGUCGUGGCCGAGUGGUUAAGGCGAUGGACCAGAAAUCCAGUGGGCUAUGCCCGCACAGGUUCGAAUCCUGCCGACUACG